UGAUGCUGGAAGUGAGACUUCAUGAGUGA
Molecule: non-coding RNA, 29 nt
Filed under: Homo sapiens (human)
Lineage: Eukaryota; Metazoa; Chordata; Mammalia; Primates; Hominidae
Source: RNAcentral